AUAUCAAUAAGCGGAGGAAAAGAAACCAACAGGGAUUGCCCCAGUAACGGCGAGUGAAGCGGCAAGAGCUCAAAUUUGAAAUCUGGCCUCCUUCGGGGGUCCGAGUUGUAAUUUGUAGAGGAUGCUUCGGGUGUGGCCGCCGUCUAAGUUCCUUGGAACAGGACGUCAGAGAGGGUGAGAAUCCCGUCUUGGGCGGCCGGUCCGCGCCCGUGUGAAGCUCCUUCGACGAGUCGAGUUGUUUGGGAAUGCAGCUCUAAGCGGGUGGUAAAUUUCAUCUAAAGCUAAAUACUGGUCGGAGACCGAUAGCGCACAAGUAGAGUGAUCGAAAGGUUAAAAGCACCUUGAAAAGGGAGUUAAACAGCACGUGAAAUUGUUGAAAGGGAAGCGCUUGCGGCCAGACUCGGGGGCGGGGUUCAGCGGGCGCUCGUCGCCCGUGUACUCCCCGUCUCCCGGGCCAGCAUCAGUUUCGACGGCCGGUCAAAGGCCCCCGGAAUGUGUCGUCUCUCGGGACGUCUUAUAGCCGGGGGUGCAAUGCGGCCCGUCGGGACUGAGGAACGCGCUCCGGCUCGGAUGCUGGCGUAAUGGCCGUAAGCGGC
RNAcentral lists this ribosomal RNA (596 nucleotides) under Nannizzia persicolor. RNAcentral describes it as "eukaryotic LSU rRNA". It matches the Rfam family "Eukaryotic large subunit ribosomal RNA", at positions 40 to 648 of the family's 3401-position model. Lineage: Eukaryota; Fungi; Ascomycota; Eurotiomycetes; Onygenales; Arthrodermataceae. The record is from RNAcentral.